RNAcentral lists this ribosomal RNA (450 nucleotides) under uncultured Glomus. RNAcentral's name for it is "SSU rRNA". It matches the Rfam family "Eukaryotic small subunit ribosomal RNA", at positions 569 to 1024 of the family's 1831-position model. Lineage: Eukaryota; Fungi; Glomeromycota; Glomeromycetes; Glomerales; Glomeraceae. The record is from RNAcentral.
AGCAGCCGCGGUAAUUCCAGCUCCAAUAGCGUAUAUUAAAGUUGUUGCAGUUAAAAAGCUCGUAGUUGAACUUCGGGAUCAAUGAGUUGGUCGUGCCUUUGGUAUGAACUGGCUUUAUUGGUUCUCACCUUCUAAUGAACCAUAAUGUCAUUCAUUUGAUGUUUUGGGGAAUUAGGACUGUUACCUUGAAAAAUUAGAGUGUCUAAAGCAGGCUCACGCUUGAAUACAUUAGCAUGGAAUAAUGAAAUAGGACAUCGCAUUCUAUUUUGUUGGUUUCUAGGAUCGAUGUAAUGAUUAAUAGGGAUAGUUGGGGGCAUUAGUAUUCAAUUGUCAGAGGUGAAAUUCUUGGAUUUAUUGAAGACUAACUACUGCGAAAGCAUUUGCCAAGGAUGUUUUCAUUAAUCAAGAACGAAAGUUAGGGGAUCGAAGACGAUCAGAUACCGUCGUAGU